RNAcentral lists this long non-coding RNA (377 nucleotides) under Pan troglodytes (chimpanzee). RNAcentral's name for it is "long non-coding RNA NONPTRT016167". Lineage: Eukaryota; Metazoa; Chordata; Mammalia; Primates; Hominidae. The record is from RNAcentral.
UUUCUAAUCAGUAUUCACAGAUUGAUUUUAAAUUACAGUGUCUCCUUAUCAAAAACUGCAAUGUGAUGAAACUGAAUAAAGAGUAUAAAGAAAGUCUUGUAAAUUAAAAGUAUUGAUAUGUAAUAUAUUUUCAAACUAAAUAAUGGGUCAAAUAGGAGAACUGAUUUAAACACAGUAAAAUAAUCCACCACCACCAUCAACACAACCAUCAUCAUCAACACUAUCAUCACCACCACCACAAUCAUCUCCAUUAUCACCACAACCACCAUCAUCAUCACCACCACCACCACCAUGAUCAUCACCAUCAUGAUCAUCAUCAUCAUCAUAUUAUGGCCACAUAGAAAGAAGCACACUGAGCUUUUGAUGUGAAAGUCCAU